This 433-nucleotide ribosomal RNA is filed under the name uncultured bacterium. RNAcentral's name for it is "partial 16S ribosomal RNA". It matches the Rfam family "Bacterial small subunit ribosomal RNA", at positions 29 to 507 of the family's 1533-position model. The record is from RNAcentral.
AACGAACGCUGGCGGCAUGCCUAACACAUGCAAGUCGAACGAGACCUUCGGGUCUAGUGGCGCAAGGGUGCGUAACGCGUGGGAACCUGCCCUUAGGUUCGGAAUAACUCCCCGAAAGGGGUGCUAAUACCGGAUAAUGUCUUCGGACCAAAGAUUUAUCGCCUUUGGAUGGGCCCGCGUUGGAUUAGCUAGUUGGUAGGGUAAAAGCCUACCAAGGCGACGAUCCAUAGCUGGUCUGAGAGGAUGAUCAGCCACACUGGGACUGAGACACGGCCCAGACUCCUACGGGAGGCAGCAGUGGGGAAUAUUGGACAAUGGGCGAAAGCCUAAUCCAGCAAUGCCGCGUGAGUGAUGAAGGCCUUAGGGUUGUAAAGCUCUUUUACCCGGGAUGAUAAUGACAGUACCGGGAGAAUAAGCUCCGGCUAACUCCGUG